This is a long non-coding RNA of Helianthus annuus (common sunflower), 1808 nucleotides long. RefSeq lists it as uncharacterized. The record is from RefSeq and is a predicted model, not a curated record. Lineage: Eukaryota; Viridiplantae; Streptophyta; Magnoliopsida; Asterales; Asteraceae. The transcript is spliced from 2 exons.
AUGUGCUAGAAACUAGCAAAAUGAAAUGAAGGACACUAAUAAGAGCUCUGGAGCAGAAUCUAACAUAAGUAUAGUUAUGAAAGUAACUUACUUAUUAUAAGGGCAUAGGAACGAUGUGUACGAUUACGUACAUACAUGAAUUAAACAUUUGCCAAGAUCCCAAAUGCGUUUAGGUUGUAGUAAGUAUAGUGGAUGAACAACUUGAAAGAGGUAAGAGUAGAAUGGUCUAGUUUGAAUGAGAAAGGUUUCGGGGACGAAACCUCUUUUAAGGGGGGGUAGACUUGUAACGCCCCAAAAUUAUGCAAAUUAAUUAUGUUACUUAAGAUGUCUAGUCAUGUAUUAUUUUACCUAGUUAAGUAUGUAUAUGUUAGUAACUUGAUUAGAAGGAAGGUUAUAUGACAAAUAAAAUAUCUAAGUAAAUAGGAGGACUAAACUUGUUAAAAGGUUGAAAGUUUAAUAAAUAAAAGAAAAAAAAAAUAAAAUAAAAACACACACCCUGGUGUGAUGGCGUGGAUCGAUCAGAGCAAAGGGGGGAGAAGACAAACCCUAACUUCAUGAAAUUCUCAAGAAUUGAAAGAGAUUAGGAGCCCAAACUAAUGCAUGAACUCGAAACCUCAAUCAUCUAAGCUUGUACAACAAGCGGAACGUGUCAAGGAGAGGUCAAGCAUAGGAGGAUAACGGGUCAAGAUAAGGCAAGAUGACAAAUACACUUAUUGGAGUACUCGAGGUAAGUGAAUUUCGAUUCACUUUUUAGUAGGUUUAAUAGAUUUUAAUACUUAUGUUUACGAAACAUCAUGAAAGAACAUGUAAUAAUCAGAAGUACAAAGCCAAUAAUGCCUCAUUAUUGAAGAAGGUUGUAUUUAAGCCGAAAGUAAAUUGGUGGGUUUAAACGGGUCGAAUUUUAUGUGCAUAUGUUGCGUAAUGAAAUGAAAUUCGUUAUGGUUAAGACCUUGGGUAAGAAUUUUAGUCAUUAUGUAAGGGGAACAUUUCCCGGACCAUUAGGUACAAGUUUUAUAUGAUUCGGUUGUCGGUCAAUGAAUGAACGGAUUGUUUCGUUUUAGUGUAGGAAAUUUUAUAAGUAUAUGUGUAUAGGAAUCCAAAGGCCACGUGGGUUGAAUCGUAGAUUGUCUAUACUAUGUAAAGUUUUGAAUGUGACAUUCCGGCAUAAACCUACAUGUAAAAGAAGCUUGUGUAUAUAUUCGUGAUUAAUUGAUUUUGCGAAGGAAGGAACAUUGGCAUGAAUGAAGGUACGCACAUAUAUAUAUGUAUGUAUGUAUGAUAAUAAGUACGUAGGUGUGAAUGUAUGUGUGAAUGAAUGUUCAAUGCUUAAGACAUAUGCAUGAACGUAUCAAAGGGUUCGAGUAUUUAUGGAUACUAAUGAUGUGCGUUGAGUUGGAAUGUAAUGUAGGUAUGGGGUCGUUGGCUUCAUGAAGAAAUGGAGCUGGAUUUGGAUAAGAGUAUUUAAGAAAGCGCUUGGACAAUUCCACGACUACUUUAUAGAAUGCUCUACGAAAUUUUAUUAUAUAGUUUAAUGUUGAAUGGUUUGUUAAUAACUAAUGGUUUGGUUGUACGUGGUGUCCACAGGUAUCGCUUGGGUUUUCUCUACUUUUAUUGAAGUGAAGCGGACUUAGUUCGAGUUGAGAGCAAGGAUUGUACGGGGUAGAAUGGUCACAUAGUGUAACUUAUAUAGGUUUUGAAGUAUCAAUGUUAUAAAACGUUAUAAAUCCGUUUUAAUGAAUAUAUGGCAUUUCGCAUUUGAACUUUCAUGUGUUUGAUAUGUCUAUUAAAGAACGAAAUUUUUGGGCUCU